Molecule: ribosomal RNA, 484 nt
Filed under: uncultured bacterium
Lineage: Bacteria
Description: partial 16S ribosomal RNA
Rfam family: Bacterial small subunit ribosomal RNA
Source: RNAcentral
AUUGAACGCUGGCGGCAGGCCUAACACAUGCAAGUCGAGCGGUUGAAGGGAGCUUGCUCCUGGAUUCAGCGGCGGACGGGUGAGUAAUGCCUAGGAAUCUGCCUGGUAGUGGGGGAUAACGUCCGGAAACGGGCGCUAAUACCGCAUACGUCCUGAGGGAGAAAGUGGGGGAUCUUCGGACCUCACGCUAUCAGAUGAGCCUAGGUCGGAUUAGCUAGUUGGUGGGGUAAAGGCCUACCAAGGCGACGAUCCGUAACUGGUCUGAGAGGAUGAUCAGUCACACUGGAACUGAGACACGGUCCAGACUCCUACGGGAGGCAGCAGUGGGGAAUAUUGGACAACGGGCGAAAGCCUGAUCCAGCCAUGCCGCGUGUGUGAAGAAGGUCUUCGGAUUGUAAAGCACUUUAAGUUGGGAGGAAGGGCAGUAAGUUAAUACCUUGCUGUUUUGACGUUACCAACAGAAUAAGCACCGGCUAACCUCGUG